This is a long non-coding RNA of Gasterosteus aculeatus aculeatus (three-spined stickleback), 1155 nucleotides long. Lineage: Eukaryota; Metazoa; Chordata; Actinopteri; Perciformes; Gasterosteidae. The record is from Ensembl.
CACACACACACACACACACACACACACACACACACACACACACACACACACACACACACAAUCCGCGGCCAGAUGACGUUACCAUUUGUUCGCGGAAGUGGCUUCUGUCGUGACCGCUGAAGGGAGAGAGAGAGGUAGAGAGAGAGAAAGUUAAAAAAGAAGUUUUCAGAACUAUAAUUUCCUGUGAAAGUUCAUUCCAAAAAAAAACUGCGAAGGCGCUCGGCCGACCGAAGCCAUCGAGCCGUUUGCCCCCGGUAGGUGACACCAAGCCGAAGGGGUUUGAAGCAGCGACAGCCCGCUGGGCAGGAGGGGCAACUCGAGGGGGGAAAGGGAGGAAGAAAGCUGGUGAGUUGAUCGUUAAAGUUGACCACACUUUGUCGGGAGCAUGGCUGGAGAUCCGCCGCGCGCCGUGCGUCACCGCGCCGCGGCCGCAGUGGACGUCUCCAAGGAGCGGGGGGGGGGGUAGAUGGUUGCUUUACCUCUUCGUGUGGUGCCCACAGUGUUUGGUGGAGGUAAAUGAAAGCUUAUAUAUGUGUGAAACUUGCUCAUGAUCGGACCGAUCUCGACAAACGUCAAUGUUUCACGUCGUGUUCGGCCUCUCGCUGUCAGGCGAGUUUUCGGGCUUUUAGUCUCUGCAGCUGCCAGCAGACACAUUUUGGAGAAGCACAGCGGCCGCAAAGUCGCUCAUAAAUGACUGUAGUUCGUGUAAAAAUGGGCAACAGGGAGCAGUCCAUUGAGUGACCUCAAGCUGGAGACGCUUUCAGUAGGUGAACAGAGAACCGCUCUAACAAGGCCUUCGCUUGUGCGCAGAAAUGUCCUCAAAUUGACUCAUUGAGCUGAAUGAUCGAUGAGUGAAAGUUUAUUGGCCAUUCAUUUUGUAAUCAAAUCACCGUUUAAAGCAAACGUGUCAAAGGCUCGCUGGUUCCAUCUUCUCCAAUGUAAAGAUUUCCUGCCUUUUUCCUUUGUUUUUAGAUACUCAACAAAGCAUUUCCAUUAGAAUAUGUUGCCUUUUUUAAAAUAUUCUACUGUCUAUUUUCUCAAUUUUAUACGUAUUGAUUUUGAUUAAAUAAUAAUAAUGUAAAUAAUCAUUGCAACUGUAAAAUAAGUCUUUAUGACUAUAAUUCUAACGAUAUAUAUAUAUAUAUAUAUAUAUAU